RNAcentral lists this ribosomal RNA (249 nucleotides) under uncultured bacterium. RNAcentral describes it as "partial 16S ribosomal RNA". It matches the Rfam family "Bacterial small subunit ribosomal RNA", at positions 57 to 305 of the family's 1533-position model. The record is from RNAcentral.
GCAAGUCGAGGGGUAACAGGGUGCUUGCACCGCUGACGACCGGCGCACGGGUGAGUAACGCGUAUAGAACCUACCUUUUACUGAGGGAUAGCCUUUAGAAAUGAAGAUUAAUACCUCAUGGUAUUGAAACUUGGCAUCAAGAUUUAAUUAAAGAUUUAUUGGUAAAAGAUGGCUAUGCGUUCUAUUAGCUAGAUGGUAAGGUAACGGCUUACCAUGGCAACGAUAGAUAGGGGUCCUGAGAGGGAGAUC